UUUAUGUAAGUAAAAUAAUUUUUUCAAAAAAAAAUUAUUUUUAAUAUGGUUUUAUAUUAUAUAAAAAAUAAAUUUUUUAAAUAAAUAUUUAAAAUAUUUGGUCAUAAAAAGGUUAGUAUCUUUGUAUGGUAUUUAAUAAUUUAAGUAGUAUUAAAAACUUAAAAUAAAUGGUAGUAAAAUAUUCAAUCUAGGGAAUUUUAAAAUUUAAUUUGAUAAUCCACAAUUUUAUUUACUUAAAAUAUUUUUAUGUGUGGUUGUUUAAAACCAUUUUUUAAAAUGAAUUUUAAUUCAGAUUUUACGUAGUAUUUUUAAGGAAUUUUGAAAUGUGGUAUAAAAUUAAUAAAAAUAUUAUUUUAGUAAAGACUUAGAAGUAAUAAAAAUUAAAUAAAAUUGUUUUAUUUUAGGC
Molecule: ribosomal RNA, 406 nt
Filed under: Oncaea prendeli
Lineage: Eukaryota; Metazoa; Arthropoda; Copepoda; Poecilostomatoida; Oncaeidae
Description: partial 12S ribosomal RNA
Source: RNAcentral